CAGUAGCGUAUAUUAAAGUUGUUGCAGUUAAAAUGCUCGUAGUUGAAGUUCGGAUGCAGCAGAGCUUGGAAACGCUGUUAUGGUGCUUCCGUUGCUUUAGCUUGUCCACAGUGCGUUGCAAGUACGUAUGUGCUUGUGCGUGCAUUUUACUUUGAGAAACAUAGGGUGUUCCACGCAUGUUACGGCAUGAAUAUUCCAGCAUGGGAUAAUCUGGUACGACUUCCAAUCUGCCAUUUUGGUUCGUAGGUUGGAAGUAAUGAUUAAUAGGGACUGUCGGGGGCAUUGGUAUUUGACUGUCAGAGGUGAAAUUCUUAGAUUCGUUGAGGACCAACCACUGCGAAAGCAUUUGUCAAGGAUGUCUCCAUUAA
This 368-nucleotide ribosomal RNA is filed under the name uncultured eukaryote. Its description in RNAcentral is "partial 18S ribosomal RNA". It matches the Rfam family "Eukaryotic small subunit ribosomal RNA", at positions 592 to 976 of the family's 1831-position model. The record is from RNAcentral.